UGAUAUUUCAUGAAACUUGCAAUUAUUGAAAAAAAUCAUUUUAAAACCCUGUGUUACUUAAGUCAUUGUGGAAUGUGAGAUGGUAAAGUAUGAGUCUCUUAUUCUUGAUAUCAUUGUUGCUUGGAGAAUUUAUUUCAAAAAUCUUCAAAAUUCUAGCUACCAUCCUCAGUGUUUUAUAUGCCUGAUAAAACUGAAGAUAUUAAUUAUGAUUAUAAAAGCUAUCUACUCUGUAUUGAGUUUGUUCAAAAUGAGUUAGACCUUUGUUGAGAGAUUUAUCAUGCUCCUAAGAUCAAGACAUUUAUUCAGAAAGAUUCACUCUUCCGAAGUAUUAUUGCAUUAGAGGCAUUGGCUAUGCAAAAAUAAAGAUAUUUUGAGGAAAUAAAAAGGAGCAAGUGCUCGAUAACCUCACAGAAAAAAUGGACAAGUGUCCGGCAGUAGAAUUAGGGUUACCUCGGUAUCCACUUAAAAAAAGAAGAAAAAGAAAAUGAUAGCCCAUGGUCCCUCUAAUAAGCAAUAUGCCAGCAAGAGUUGACAAAGAUUUCAAUUUCCAAAGUCUUUGAUCUAAGAGUAUGACAUUUCCCUCCUCGGAUCCCGUUUUGAUCAGGCAAUAAAUACAAGGUAAGUAUGCUUGAGAAUUUUUUGCAAAUUAAAACAGCCUGAGUGAGAUAUAUAAAAGAUAAUGAGUGAUCUGAGAGAACCUAUGAGGAUAAAAGGUAUGCUAACUUUCUUUCAAAAAUGUACAAAAACUCCAAGUGACAAGAUUAAGAAGAAAGGAUCUUUACUCUUAACCAUAUACUUCCCUGACUAUAGUACACAGUGGAUUUUAACACCCUGCAAAUAUAAAGAAAAUGUUUUACCCCACAUAUUGUUCUUAACCAUCCUUUUCUCGAGGCCGAGUAAAAGCCUAAGUAUGGGGGUAUUUGUUGACGGUUCUUAAGUAUCAAUUUUAAUUAUCAAAUAAACAAGAGAAAGGACCAAUAUGCAACCAACACCUAGAAUUAGGGUUUGAUCUGACAGAAUUCCACGAGUUUUGUUGUUUAUCUGUUUCUGCAGGGGGUUAUCAGGAAAUAAGGAAGAAAGGCCCACAUGUCGGGAUUACAUAGAGAUAUCAACGCACCGCGCAAUUUUCAACCAUCUAGAAGACUCCAGAAGCCACGGGAAGAAAGCGGAGGCCGAACGGGGCCAGGCCCUGGGCGCCUGCUCAGUUGACCUGGGCGCCCGCCCUCUGUUGGAUGCCAAUCAGGACUCUCCGGGAUCAAUAGAGUGGAGGUGUAGAUCAGAGGAAGGCCGGCCUGUCGGUGUCUACUCCAAGGCUGUACCUACGGGAUCAAGUCUUCUAACCCAAGGCUUUCUCCUAUGAUUCUUCAGUAAUUCGACUUCUAAUUCUAGUAAGUUCAUGUUUUAUUGUUCUUUUGGUUUAUGAGUUUACUUUAAUCUCUUCGCGUAGAGUUUAGAGUAAUCAUCUCUAGCGUAGACGUGGUGUUUAAGCUAGGAUACUCAUAGAUAUUCCCUGACUAGCUAGACCGUGGUAGUAGCGAGGAACGUGACAUUUCUGAGUUACCUUUGCAGACCAUAUCUCGUUAGCAAGAAGGAUAGGGUUUAUAGGUUCGGGUUGAACAUCCUUUGUGGUGUCUAGAUUCUGUAAGCUUCCCUAAUAGAACAGUAGAUCAUCCUUACCAAGGUUAGAAGGAGAUUACGGUUGUAGUCUUCUCUAUUUAUCACUCACAUCGAGAAACAUUCUUUGUUGCCUAAACGGUUAGUAGUAAUAGACCGGGUUAGUCAGAUGCACUCUUUCUCCUAGUGGUAAAAAAAUAAAUACGAUACUCUGGAUAACCUCCCGGGUGAAGUGCUCACCGAUAUCCGUGCGCUUGCGGAUCAAUUCCUUAUUGCGUUCCCAAAUAUCAACAAUUGGCUAAAGGCUUUGAUAAAUAUAGAAGAAAAUAAAAAUAGAUUUUCCAGAUGGUAUGAUAAAAAGGUAAAGGCUAAGGAGUUCGCCGAUGGAAACUGAUAUUACCGAUUGGGACUAAAAAUUCAAAGUUUGGCAAGUGGUCUCCCAAUUGGGAAGGUCCUUAUCGGAUAAAUCGAUCUGGUCCUGGUAAUGCCUAUAUUUUGGAAACUCUAGAAGGAGUUGAAUUUCCCAGAGCAUUGAAUGGAAAAUAUUUGAAGAAGUAUUACCAAGCAUAUGGGUCAAUGCAUAAAAGUUUAAGUGCCGAUAACAUUCCUAUCGGCUAGAUUAAAGUGUGUUUCGGACUGAAUAUGAUGUUUCAAGAGAUGCCGAUAACAGACCUAUUGGCUAGACCAAAAUAAUCAGCAGUUUUCAAGAAAGAGCAAAAUACACGGCCGAUGAAAAGCUUAUGCACUCAAUAGAGCUUGGAUGGCUGAUAUAGCGCGCAGACAAAUUUGAUCGGCUUCUUCUAUCUCCCUGAUGUCUUCAUCGGUAGAACCCUCCACUGGCUUCAGCUUCUUGUUCAUCUGCAAUGCCUUGCGGGCUUGAGUGUUUCGCUCUUGUUUGAGGGUCUUGAUCGUUUCAGGCAGCUGAUUUUCUUCUUGUUGAGCUUGAGACAGAGCCUCUUCUACUUGUUUAAGCUAUGCCAAUAGGGCUUCUCUUUUUGCCGAUAGGUCGAAUAUCUUUUGUUUCAGCGUAUCUCCUGGGGAUUUCAGAAUGCCGAUGCUCUUGUGUUUUUCAUCGGCAAGGUGCUUUACUUUCAUUAUCUCCUCUGAAAGCUGGGCAUGAGUGGCUCUAUCGGCGAGGCGCUGAGUGGCCUUUUGGUACUCGAGCUGUUGGCUCUCCAAGUGUGCACCCUUGAAGAGGAUCUCCUCGGCAUCACCAGGGAUUUGGCCUCUGAGAGCUUUAAACGGAGCCUUGGCUGGAUCGGAGUCAUCAACCAGUUGGGUUGUAUCCUGAUGAAGCAGGGCCAGCAAAUCUUCUAGCUUUGCUCUGAUUUAUGUCGAUGAAAUCCCAAUUGCUUGAGAAGAGCUUGCUUCCUCGCCUUCAUCGUCGGAAAUUUCGAUGGCGAAGGAGAAGAGGCUGUCAGGAGAAUCUUGUUCCUGAAAAAGAAAAGGAGAUAGGUUAUUUGAUGAUGAAAUGUUAGUAAAAUAAAGGAUGAUUAUCAAAUAGCUUACUUGUUUCAAAGCCAUCUCUCACCUCUAGCUAAUUGAGGCCGAUGGUACCACAGGUUGAUCGGUCGGAGUAGUCGAUGGGACAAUGUCAGCUGAAAAAAUUAACAAGGAUAGUUAUAAGGCGGAAAGAUAAAUCCAUCGGCAACGAUUUCAUAGAUAGUACUUUACCUUGAGGGGGUGCAGUGCUUGUCUGAAUUGAGUAGACUACCGAUGCUAUGAUUGAACCCACUGGAUCGGCGGUCUGCUCGUGUACAUCGGUUGAUAUCUCUUCUGGCUGAGGUGCUUCUUCCUGUGGCUGAGGUGGAGACGGUGCUUGUUGUGUCUGGGUCUCUGGUGAAGAAGGGGACGAUUCCACAUGAAUCGGUGAUCCUGGAGGAGGAGGAGGAGGAGGCGAUGCUGUCUUCUGACGUUUUGCUUGUGACUUAGUACUCUUGGGACCCUUUCUCUUUACUUGGCUGGACUGGGGGCAUCGACAGUUGUCUUGGUACUUCUGGUCUUUGCCGAUUUGCCGGAUUGCUGAUACAACAACAAAAGUUUUGUAAAUACAAGCGUGAUAGGGAGUUGAUGAAAUUCUGGUUGGAAUAGUAAAAAUUACCGAUGAUGUUCCCAUAGCAGCCGAUGUGUCCUGAAAGAAUUUACCUUGAAAGCUUGUGCCAAAGCAGUAGCAGCUACCGAUGGGGAUGUCUUCGCUCGUCUGGUGGUAAUUUUCUUGAAACGCACGCCCCGGUGCAUUAAAGCCGCCAAGCUUGGCGCAUUGUUGCCGAUCAGAGAGAUCGGGCCCGAUGGAAGGAGUUCGAUCGGCCUUUUGCUCUUGCUGACUGUCGGUGGUGUAUCAUCGACAUGAUUAAAGAGAGAGGAAGUGAGUUACCGAUAAAAAUAAAAGUAAUAUAAGAGGAUUGAAGCAUCGGUUGAAAACUUACAGUGUUCUCGGGAAUUUUGUACUUAGGGUCGAUCAUGCCACGGUAUGUGAGGGCCGAUCUGCAGAAUAGGUGUUCUUUCCACUCCUCCCACCACUGCUUGUAUGCCUGGGUAAUGAAGAGAGCCGGGAUCCAAGCCGAUAGAUCGACGUCUGUAUCGGCAUUUGGUGGAAGUUGAGCUAUUCUGAUCCACUCGAGACCGCUGGUUAUGGUUUCCCUUGGUUUCACCACAUCGGCGUAGCAGAGUGUAAUCGGCAGCUUUCCAAAGGCUAGUUGGCGAGCUAGUGCCGAUGGGUUAUAGAACUCAUAAGUCAGAUUGGAGGCUUUCCAGCUACCAAAGAAGUUCACUGGUAUGGCUCUCGGAGUGAUGAUUGCCAUCAUCAGAUCAUGGUCCUUGUUGAGAGCAUUGUCAAAGGGGUGGAAAGUGAGUAGGAAUCUGGUUUCUGGAUCUUCAUAAGGCAUCCAUGCCCGCUGGUCUUUGGCCAAACCCUCAUAGAGAGUCUGAAAGAAUCGGCUGACCUGGUCCUCAUUGCCACCGAUACCAGGUAGAACUAUGGCAGCUUCACCAUAGCUCAGAGGAGAGCGAGUUGCCGAUUCUUCUUCAUCCAACUCAUGAUCUUUGGCUAUGUCUCUUGGAAAACACUGUGCCAAAAGGUCGAAUCCAAGGCGUUUAUGCAUAUGGACACUGAGCCACAUGUUGACAAACCACCAAUGUCCCCCUAAGUUGCCGAUGGAUUGGCCUAGCAGGAGUUUCUUAGCUACCUGAUGGAGAAGGUGAUAAACAGAGCCGAGCAAGUAUCGGCCAAGAGGAAAUCAGCCACCAUUGGCUAAUCUUUCUGCUGUCGAUAGAUAGACAGAGGUUGGUCCUGCCGAUCGGCCAUAGAAUACAAACUUGUCUAGCCACAUGUUCAAGAAAAUAGCCUGCUCUCUUUCCCCGACAGGUCCUGUUUUUCGAUACUUCUGAAUAUACCCAGACCAACCGCCGAUAGCACGAGUCUCUACCUUAGAACUGGGUUUGGUAUCAAACAAAUGACUAUCAUCGGCAGUUGAUAUGUCUAAGCCAGUAAGCAUGAGUACAUCGACAAGAGUAGGUGAAGCAGGGCCAUGGCCGAAUACAAAAGCAUUGAGUGUGUCUGACCAAAAGUACGAGGCAUCUAUCAGCAGUGACUCGUUCCUCUCCAUAUUGACAAGGGAUAAUCUGAUGCACUGGUCUAGUUUCCGCUCACCCCAUUGGACUUCAUUUGAAUGGCUGACUCUCAGGAACCAGUCUUUCCAUCCCUUGGUAGGACUGGGCUAUGAACGAAAAGCAUCUUUCCACAGAUCUAAGGAGAAGUUUUCGGCUCUAAAGGGGAUUCUAUUUGUUUCUGCAUUUAUCAGAUUGGUGGGAUCUGGAUUCCCUAACGGGCCGAGACAUUAGAAGUGAGGUUGAUCGGUAGGAAUAACGAUCUUAUCGGCCAAAUCCUAAAAGGUCUUGAGGAUGAAAGAACAAAAAGAAAAAAAAGAGGGUACUCAGUAAAAAGAAUCAUAGAUGAACAGGAGUACAGCAAGAGUGCAGAAAGGAGAGGGAUGGUAAACUGACCUCAGGAACAACGAAGUUGAUGGCCAUUUCUUUCCGAGGAAGAGGGUUGAAGACUUGGAAGAUAGGUGGAGGAGGUCCUUGCUGGAGUUCUUGGAGUUCUCAGGCAAUGUCGCCGCCAGGAAGGUGGAUUUUGGGCUGUGGAAUGACAAGAUGGAGAAAGAGUACCGGAGAAGGAAGUAUUUAUAGGACAAAACGGGCAGGGGCAAAUCUGACUUAUCUCUUUGUCGCAUUCGUGAAAUCCGAGGGUGUUUAGGUGGAUAUGGUAACUAUUCGCACGGUAAUCAAGGGAUUGCGUAGGUGAUUUGACAGCAAGCGGUCAUGAUUUUGAAGAUAUUUUACUGUGCAAGAUCGCCUGGUCGGCCCAUCGGCAGUUUUCUAUAACGGUAAUAUUGCCGAUGAGCGCAUAAGUGGGGAGGUUCGGUUCGAGAGCUUGAGGAAUUCGAAGAGUCUAUAGGAGAAUCGGGCCAAGGUUGUUUAGAUUUGGCGGCUGAUUACCAAAUUGGGAGAAGUAAUUGCGGAAAGGCGUCAUUACUGCAGAGAAUUUUGGAGCAUUAAUGAUUUUAUACUCCAAAAUUGGGGGGCAUGUGUUGACACCAUUUUUGGACAUGUAUCUUUUGAUACACGCCUGGAGUUAAUGGGAUGUAGAUCGGCAGAUGGAGCAAUGGUGACUAGUCUACAAGGGAGUUGCCGAUAAAGGUGGUUGCCGAUGGGAAACAGCCGAAUAUGACCAAGUUCGGAAGUGGUGACGUAUUCGUGCCGAUGACCAUUGCCGGUGUUUGCCAAUGGCUGUAACAGGUAGUCUGCCGAUGACUCUGAAAAAAGCGCGGAGGUUGCCGAUUGAUUCGUAGCAGUGUCCUGAUCGGUUACGGGGGAUGGUUUAAUGUUUUCCUUAGUUAUUAGGAUUUGUUUUGUAUACGGAUUCCGUUUAAUUUGGAAUUCGAGUCCUAGUCGUGUCUGGUUGUAGCUCUUUGGAUAGAGUAUAAAUGUAGACUCUAGGGCAAUGUAAUGAGAUAUCUAUCAAUCAAUCAAACACAAGUUUUUACUCAUAUUCCAGCAUCUACUUUUCGACGACUUCGUCAUAUUUUCCUUUUACUACGAGUUCUUAGGAAUUCGUCGAGUCAAACUUGGCGUGUUCUCGAGUUUCGCGUGAGCACCUCUUGGCCAUGACAUCCGAGCGCAUCGCUGUUGUCGGGGCCAAAGUGUUCGAGUUACCACCUUUGUCGAUUGUAAGGUCAAAUCGGCUGGCGCGCCUUAAUGUUUGAAUUGGAUAUUAGCCCUUUGUGUUCGCAGAUCAGCCUCUGCACCAACACUUAGAAUCUAAAAUCUGAACCCAAAUGGCACUGUCAUUCAAAUGGUAUCUGAAAAUCCAAGCACACAAAACAGACAAGUUUAAACUUCUCAAAUUAGGAAUUCCUAGACCUCCAAAGUCUUUUCUCUGAGCAACCAAUUGCCAGUUUGCGAGAUGGUAUUUAUGUCUAUCUUCCGUAUAAUUCCACAGGAAGUGACUCAUCUGAGAAUUAAUCAUAUCAAUGGCCCACCUAGGAAAUUUUAUGAUGGAAAGGAGAUAAAUAAGGAUGCUCGCAAGGCUAGCCCUUAACAAAGUUAAUCUGCCAGCAUAAGAUAGCAACCUUCCUCUCCAUCCCACAAUUCUUUUAAUUAUCUUAUCAAUCACCGGCUAUAAAUCCUCUCUUCUUAACUUGGUGAAAUGUAGCGGCACACCUAGAUACUUAAUAGGAAAAUCGCUUAACUUGCAGCAAAAAAACCUUCGCAAAAUCAUUAGCACUGUUUGGGCUUAAGCCAAUAGUCAACAGUUCACUCUUGUCAUAAAUGAUUUUCAUACCUAACAUCUUUUCAAAACAAACCAAUAACCACUUCAAAGUUUGAGCCUUUUCUAUAUUAUCCUCUAAAAACAGAAGUGUGUCAUCUGCAUAUUGCAAACUGACCACUCCACCAUCUAUGACUUGGGGAAGAAGGCUAGAAAUUAAGUUUUGUAUAGCAGCUUUCAUAAGCAUCCUAGAGAAAACAUCUGCUACAAGAUUAAACAAAACGGGGGACAAGGGGUCUCCGUGUCUAAGCACUUUCCCCGGUUUAAAGAAACCACUGUUUUCAUUAUUCAUUCUAAUGCAUAUUGAUCUCCCUUGAACCACACUCUUAAUCAAUCUAAUAUACUUGGGACUAAAGUUCCUAGAUGAGAGCAUAUCCUCUAAAAAAACUCCAGCUAACUCUAUCAUAAGCUUUCUCGUAAUCUAACUUAAGGAUAACCCCUGCAUCCUUAUGCUUAUGCACCUCAUGAAUAAGCUCAUGAGCUGCAACCACGCUCUCAAGAAUAUAUCUUCCUUUAAUAUAAGCCGUUUGAUUUGAAGAAAUCAACCUAUCAGCCACAUCAAUCAACCUAUCAUUAAGCAGCUUAGAAAACAACUUGAAGCUACAAUUGAUAAGACUAAUAGGUCUAAACUUUUUCAAGUUUUUGGCCUCAGGUUCUUUUGGAACUAACGUUAUCAUCGCAUAAUUGAUUGUAUCAAAUUUAGCUUAUCCUUCUCAAAGAGAUUUACUAGAUUCAUCAAGUCUAAUUUAAUAGUCUCCCAGAAAAUUUGGUAGAACAAGAAAGGCAGACCAUCAGGUCUAGGGGCACCAUCCGCAUAAGAACCAAAAACUGCCUUUUUAACCUCCUCUUCUGUAAAAGGAGCUUCCAACAACUCAUUCUCUACUAACGACACCUUUGCCUCCUCCUCCCAAAAAUCUGCAUCCAGCUUGACAUUAGUUUCAGGUUCUUUACCAAAUAAAGACUUAUAAAAGUCUACAGCAUGCUCUAGAAGUUUGUCAUUGUCUUCCACCCAACCUUCUGGUGUAUCUAGACCUAAAAUCUUUUUCUUCCUAUUUCUUUGGUUAGCCACAGCUUGAAAAUAAGCUGUAUUUCUGUCACCCUCUUUGAUAUUUCUAUCUCGUGACCUCUGCGUAGCUUUAAUCUCUUCCAUUCUCCAGAUGGCCCCAAGAUCUAGAAGAAUUUUUUAGUUUAAUCAAACCAAACUUAUUAAUCCAAUCCUGAAACAAAUCAGCCCAUCUUUGAUUAAUAUUACCGUUACAUUUUUCUCUAGCUGUAGUUAUGAGAUUAAAAUAUCCUCCUAACACAGUAGGUCCAUCCCAAUUGCUUAGAAUACUCCCAAUCUCUUGAAGAAAAUCUAGUUUACCCUCCUCAUAGGGAGAACCAUAAACCACCACUAAACGCCAAACAAAUUUAUCAUGAGAAUUUUAAUCAUCACAACCACAGAGUAUUUGCCAUCCUGCUAGGUUAAAGCCUCAAAUUUCCUAUUAUUCAAACCUACCAGGAUACCUCCAGCAGCUGCCGGAAGGGCAGUGCCAACAGAAACCACUAUUAACAUAGUUAAGAAAGGAAUCCUGGAAGCUUUCCUUCUUAGUUUCUUGAAAACCAACAAAAUCUAAGUGAUUAUCUUUAACAAAGUCAAUAAUGCAUUGAAGGCGGCCCUCUUUAUUGAGGCCUCUAACAUUCCAAAAUGCACCUAUCAUUUUCCCCUUAUUUUAAUUUAGAGACCUUGCCUUUAGAGGCAACUUGGACCCAAGAGGUGUCAGUUUCAUAUAUUUUUCUCGGGUUGGAGUUGCAUCAUUACUAGUCAAAGGAGGAAACUCCUCAAUCACAAAAACAGAGUCUAAAUUGUUUGUUUGGGAGGUUAACCUCUGGAUUUUUGUCCUCAAAACUUUUUCUAUCCUCUAAUUCUUUUUCUUUUAAACCAUCAAUAUUUUUAUUCAGCUAAGGUAUCAAUACCAAGGGAAACAUUCACACAUCUAGCCUUACUAAGUAAGACAGCAUUAUCUUCAUAAGCAAAAGAGUUUUUUAAGUAAUUACCUUUUUCAAGAUUUUUCAUCCUUUUGAGAUCUUGAGCUUUUUCCAGCAUGGUCCUUCCAUCUUCAGCAACCCUCCGUGGCCUAGCAGCUAUUGGAAUGGGUCCCCAACCUAUUUUCCUCUUUUGAUUCUUCUUAGUUGUAUCUUUGUCCAUAAUUCUAUCCUCCCACUCUUCAAUUUGCCGAGAUAGAAUUCCCGAUUCCUCAGUGAGAACACAUCACCAUUCUCCAUCAGCUCCUCUUCAUCUUCUCAUAUUUCUAACUCCAUCCUUUUCAACAGAAUAGCACAUUCCUCAGUGGUCGUUCCUUGUUUGGCCAUAUUUCUGAAUUCCCCAUUUCGAAUGGUUAGAUUCCUCCUCAAUCAGACUAUAAAACUUGUUACCCACAACGUGACAGUCGGAAAGCAUAGCUAUCUUCUGUUCAGGCGUCUUCCAUCGAUCGGCUUUCCCCUGUAUGUCCCACUCAGCACCCUUUAGAGAGUCUUUAGCCAUGCUAUCAUUAUAGCUGUAUCCCUUCCAGUCAUUUUAUUUGUAGCGUAGAGCUCAAGCUUCUCUAUGACCGAGCAGUCAUUUGUGAUUAGUAUUUCAGAUCUCAUCGCAGCAUCAGUGCCACUCUGACAGUCCACAUCUACUAUCUCACUAGUUGUUAACAGCUCAGGAUUAAUAUCACUCAUACACUCUUUAAGUUGUUGAUCCUGAUCCCACUGAUCUAUCAUCAUACCAUUGGUAACUGUCUUGUAUCCAGAGUUGCUACUUGGCUUAUGAUAAGGGGUCUUCGUGCUUGGGUUGUUACUAGCUGCAAUAUCAUGUGUUGGUUCUUUUUCUGUAUCAGUAUCAUAUAGGCCAUCUGCCUCUUCAUCCAGCCCACCCUUUCCAUCAUCUCUUCCAUCUCCACCAUCAUCAUUACUUCCAUUAUCUUUGGGUCCAGAUCUCUUAUCUUCAGUCUCAACCGUGAACUCUACAACAUGCAGAUUCCUGUUCAUUUCAAACAGCCUUUUCUUUGGGAUCUUAGUAUAAUCUUUGACAGCCACUUUAAUUCUGAUAGUUUCAUAGAAAGUCUUGAACAAUAUGGACCAGUCCACCUCAACCAAGAGACCAAAACUAGAAGCAAUUUGGGCAAAGACUCUUGGAGGAAUGCCAUUCAUUUGUACCCAAACCUCUUGCAACGGACCAAAAGGUUUCAUAUCACCAAGCCAUUCCAAGACCUCCACUCGAACACCUUCUUUUCUAAGGUUGAAGGAAGGGUAGUUUUUUAUGUCUGCAACUUUCUUGUGGUGUGGGAAUCUCACCAGGAAAUUACCCUUCUCCAAUUCCCAAAUUUGCCAUGGCCAAACCAUGCAAUAUAUUUCGGAUAGCUCUAAUUCUAGUUCAGCUAAACUGACCUCACCAGCUAUGACUCUCACCACUCCACAACUAGUCAAGUUCAGCCAUUGAGUAGACUCUACAUCAGGAAUUUGUAAAUGAUAGAAACCUAAACCCAGACUCGAACUACCCACAUAAGCAGCGACAGGGUGAUCCUUCUUCCAGGCUGGAUACACAUUCAUAUGGUGCCCAGCAAUACCACAGAUAAAGCAGAUUUUGGAUUUUGUGCAGUUACCCACAAAGUGACUCGGCUCUCAACAAUUGUAGCAAGUCAUCUUCCUGUACCUUGGAUCUAUGAAAAAGUGAGGAAUCUUAGGAUUCUGAGUACCUUGUCCACCAUCCUGAAGAGCUCCAUGCAUAGGAGGAGGAUGAGGCUGUUGCUUGGGCGGCUGCUGCAGACGCUGAGCUUGACAAAGCAGUUGUUGUUGCCGAGGGGGUCGGGGACGAGUAGGUGGAGCAUCUCUCAAGUGACGCUGACCCUGGUCCUGCCAUCCUUGACGUUGGGAUUGCGAAGGAGGAUACCUUGGUUGAUUUUGCUGAACGAAUCUCUGAUUGCGCUGAGGAGGAGGGCGAUUUGGAUCGCACUGUGGAGGAGGGCGAUUUGGCUCCGGAUGCCAAACCCAGUGGCCACCUUCUGCCAUGGGUCGCUUGAGCACCUCUACGUAUGCCUCCUUCGCUUCCCGGUGGCUCCAAAUCUCCCGAAAGCUAAUCCUCACUGGCGACUUAUCAAUCCGAUCUGAUUUCUUCACCCGGAAGCAGUCAGACAGUGAAAAUCUCUUCUGCUCUACCAGCUCCCUUCGAACCCAGACUAGCUGGCUGGAUCUAGAGACAUUGGAGGUGGACAGAACCCUAGACUCGACUAGCAGCGGUGGGGAGUUGAUGGCCCAAAGCUAGCCAAAAAAUUCGAGGAUGACUUCGUCCUCUAUAGCCACUGAUGGAUCCAAUCGAGCCGUAUCCUUACGGACAACCUCUCCCUUCUCGUUGACUGGUGGGGGACACACUCCCGCCCUCCUGUGGCGCGUGGAGCCCGUCGCGCACUGGGUCCUCGUAGUCAGCCAGGGUGGGUGCGGCCAUGGAGGUGGGUCGAGGUCGAGGUUCUGUCGCGACAUGGGAGACGACAUCCCUUUCCCCCUCAUACGUGUAAGGUAUCCAUAGCUCGGUAAACUCUUAUUCUCUUUGUUAUAUUUAUAAUAGUUCUUGCUACUAUGAAUAUGCCUUAUCUAUUUAAUUAUAUCAGAAUUGACUUUAUUCUAUUUGCUUAUUGUUCACACCUGUUAACUUACAAAAUUAGUUAGCAUUUAUUUCUCAACCAGAUAUGAAUAUCUACUAGAAUAGGGUUAUCACUAACAAUUUCCACAAGUUUUUUUAUAUUUUGUGUUUUCCAGGGAUUAUUUUAGAAAGAGCUGAAAAGAGGGAUUUAAGUACUAAUCGGCCAUGAAACUUAUCGUGACAGAAGGAUGACACCAGAGGGAUCAGGAAUACUCUAGAAGACACCCGACGCAAUGGGGGAGCCACUAGCUGCCAGGUGGGGCUGGCCAGCCCCACCCUAGUGUCGGCCGGCCCCCUAUGGUUAGGGUUUGCUCCCUCCAUCUGGAAGCUUCCUCCACCGCCUUUGAGGAGUCAUCCCGGCCACCUGUUAAGUCGGUUUGAUCCAACGGCGCGUGUCCAUCCCACCAGGCUAUAAAUAGAAGGCUAGACCCCCCAGGAGGAGGCCAGAUGAAGAGAUGAAGAGUUAGAGCAUUAGAUAGAGAUCCACUAGAUCUAGGCUAGCAAUCAAGAUAGAGAUUAGAGAGAUAGAGUAGAGGAGUAGAGAUUCGGAGGAGUCCCGGCCUAUUGGAGCUUCCUUAGGAGCUGUAUUCGUCUGGAUUCGGCUACCUCGCCUAGAGCUGCGUUCUGAGGUACUUUUGUAUUUACCCUUCUAAUUCAUGUAAGUAACUUGUUUGUAUUCAUUCUUUGGUUUGCAACUCAUAUUAUAUUGAGUACUAUGAUUUGGGUAGCUCCUAGGUCGAAGUAGUGAUUCGUAGUGUGACGUGGUGUCUAGGCGAUGGUUUCUUGUGAAUGUCCGCUGAUCAGCCGAAUAGUGGUAGUUCGCGUAGGUGACUUUAUAGCUGCGUUGAUUCCUCUGUAGUCCACUUCUUGUUGAUAGGAUUGAUAGGCUUAUAGGUGCCUGAUAGGGGAUUACUCAGUUUCUUCCCCUAUUCGAGUUACUUGCCCGAUAAGACGAUACUAUACAAAGUUUACCAGUUAUUGGAACCAGAGUACAUUAGCUAUUUCCUCAUUCUUAGAGUUUUCUAGAUUGAUUGUACUCCCCUUAGAUUAAGAAUUGUAGGCUAGGUCAUAAAUCACCUACUGUUACUUUGUGUUUGAUAUUAAAACCGAGUUGAUCUUGGUGAAGUGCUGAUCAGUAUAUAUCUGUGUGCUUGCAGAUAAUCUCAUUAUAAUCAUUAUUAGGGUCCAGUUAAUUUAUACGAACAAGCAUUUCUGGUACUGUUGCCGGGGAACGGUUUGCUGAUUUUGACAUUAUUCUAUCUUAGUCUAUAGUUAUCCUUUUAUAAAAAAUAAAUUAUAUAUAUAAAUAUAUAAUAGAAAUUGAAUCUCAACUUUUGUAUCAAUAUGGAGCGCCAUCGGGAUCAUACCUCUAGCCAAAGGAAUCUUCUAAACCUAUCACAUCAUCUGGCUAGGAGCUACGCCCGGGACUAAUCAAAUUAGUUCAAGAACAUAUCUUUUCUGGUAAUCCUAGCGAAAAUCCCUAUUCCCACUUAGCCGAUUUUGAGCAGACAUGUUCAUGUCCGAGUAUUAAGGGCAUGGCCGAUGAAACUAUAAGAUGGAAACUCUUUCUAUUUUGAUUAAUGGGUCGAGCUAAGAAAUGGUAUAAUCACCAUGUUGGGAACAGUCAAGGAGAUUGGGAUAUAUUACGAAAAGACUUUUGCCUUAAAUUCUUCCUAGUAGAAAAGGCCGCUAAACUUUGGUUUGAAAUUAUAGGAUUCAAACAAUUAGACAAUGAAUCGCUAGGCAAGGCUUGGGAUCAUUUUGAUGGCUUUGUGAAUUCUGGACCUAAUCUUGCUUUACCAGAACCCAUGCUUUUACAACAUUUGUUUUUAGGCAUUAAUGAUAGAAAUCAAGAAUACCUUAAUUUGGCCUCAGGAGGAGCAUUUAUGCAUAUUACUGUAGAUCAUGCUAAAACUAUUCUUACGAAUAUUUUAAAUGAUUUCCUCAAAGAAAAAAAGAAUUGUUAGAAGAAGAAUCUCAGUUAGCUGAAAAUAAACUUUUACCUAAUUCGUCUCAAACUAUAGUAAAAUUAGCUAAUGAGACGGAGAUAACUCCAAAUUCUGAAUGGAUGUUUGAAAUUGAGGAUGAUUUCUUUGAUGAUUUUGGUAAUACAACAUUUUAUUGUAAGAUUAUUCAACCCCAACAAUCUAGGGAUUUUAAUCCUAAUUUCUCACAUCGUGAUGAUUUAAAAUUUCUUAGAGAAAUCAUAAGAGAAUUAAUUUUUAUUUUGGGUGAUGAUUGGUUAAUAGAAUCUGAGCAAUCCCCUGAAGUAAUUUGCUUUAAUUCACCCUCUAUUAUUAUAAAGUUGCAAGUACAUUCAUAUUCUUUCGGAGCUUUAUACAACCCAGUUGUAGGAGUCAACAUUAUGUCAUAUACUUUUGCUAUAGAAUUUUUAAGAGACAUAACAUUAAUUCCUACAAAUAAAUUAUUAAAGAAUUGUUUAGGACACAUUAUUUCUAGCUUAGGAGUUUUGAGUGCACUUCCUAUUGUUAUUAAUGAUUUCCGCAUCUUGCUAAAUUACUAUAUAUUUGAUGUGUGGGAUUUUAAUGUAAUGAUUGGAGUACCCACAAUAAAACUUCUUCAAGAAGGUCAUAAUGGUAAAUUAGACAUUAAAUUUGUGAAAGAAUUUAGUUUUUCAAUACCUAUAACUCAUGCAGUAAAAGUUAAAGCAGAACCCCUUCCUAAACUGGAUCCAGUAGAAGAGGUUAAGACAUCCGAAUUCGAUAAUUUUAGUCAACUUGAUUUAGAAGAUGAUACCCAGUUCUUCAUUGAUGAAGAAGAAGAGGAUCCUAUUAAUCCUAAACCUCUUGAUGAAUUACUAGAGCCACUUAAACCUCCUAUUGAGCUUAAACCACUACCUUCUUGACUUAAAUAUGUUUUUCUAAAUAGAUCAAAAAUAUCCUGUGAUUGUAAGUGAUAAACUUUCAGAUGAGGAGACUUAUAAACUAAUAACUGAUCUAGAAAAACACCGUGCUGCUUUUGGUUAUUCACUCCAAGAUCUAAAAGGGAUUGCCCUGUUCUUUGCACUCAUCGCAUACCAACCAAUCUAGAAAUUUUACCCAAUCCGAUAUCCAAAGCGUGCCAGUCGAUUUGACCCAUUAAUCGACAAGGAUGAUAACUCGAGUACUUUUGUACAGACAACAUGUCAUAUAAUCGACCAAAUUAUAAGAGUUCAAGUGUAGAAAUGAUCGACUUAACAAUCAAGUUUGCAGACUUGAGCCCAUAUAAUCCCGGUAGUCAACCGAAAUCCCGAAGGACUUCAAACCAACUUUGCAACAUACCAAGAUCGUAAUAGUUCAACACAAUACAGCGAAUGUUACAUAGUUCAUUCAUUGCCGAUGAAGCGGCACCACACCGGAAUACUUAGUUAUUACAACACAAGUUCGAAGUAGCAGAAGCAAAAUAGUUUACACACACACAUUUCAUCAGUUCUUGUUACUGCCAGAGUCUCAUCUCAUCCACCAAAAGCAUCAGGGUACGAAGUUGUUUAGAGAACCGCACCCAACGGUUUAGUCUUCAUCCCCAGCGGGAUGGAGACAGGUCUUGCAGAAGCCAUCAUAGAAGAUAUCAUCUGCAACAGGUGGGAAUAAACCCUGAGUACGAGGAUGUACUCAGCUGGACUUACCCAUCUAACCAAACACAAAAGACACCAAGGAUCAUGCCAGGCUGAGUGUAAGUGUAGCUGGCUUGACUCAAACAAGUUCCCGAAAGCUUAAGUUGGAUAGUACACCAUUUGUAAACGCAUCAUAUUAAUCAUCAUUAGCCUACUACUAGAUUAGCACCUAUACUAAGCACUUCACUUGAUUAUUACAAACAAUAAUAACCAUAUCAAGUUUCAUCAUAAGUUCUUUUUUGCUAUCCUCGACAUCAUUAUCGAGAACCAUUGUACUUAGUGAAUGCUACGUUUGCCGCUACUCUGUCAAGUUCUCACUAUCCGGGAGAGACGGCGAUUCGAAUCGAUUCCUAUCCAGUUGGAGGGUUAUUCCUAGCACUCACCCAAGCAUCCCCCGUCAGAGAGCAAGUGGGUUACCUUUGGUACGACUCAGGAAUCGCGGCUCCGAUCAGUGCCGCACUCCCAGGGCUGCCACUCUGCCAGGAAGGUCAGGACUUUUAACUCACCUGCCUUUGGUAUUACGCCAACGGCCCCCCGCACACCGCACUUCCUCCGGUAGUGCGCACUUUAUACUUGCCGGUCUUUCGGCCUGAGUCAUACUACUAGGCUUCACGGUCGGAAUGAGUUAUCUGGUCAACUAAGUGCCAGGCAUGCGUUCAACAUAACAACAGGACGUACAACGAUCGGUCCUUAGCUGCCACAGACGGAGUUACUACCACCUUGCAAAACUCCACCUGGCUUAAGUCAUUUUAAACCAGGUUCUUUCCCCCGAUAGCAUAUAUAGUCAAUCGUGAUCCAACAACAGCCAUAUUUCACGCAGGUGACAGGAUAUCACCCGACUUCUUUCGAUUAAAGCAUAGCUAAGCUGCUACUCGAUCCUAACUCUACAACCAGGUAGUGGUAUGAUUAUAUUGACAAGGAAAGGUAUAAUACAGCAAGGGUUUCAUCACAACUCCUAUACGUAAUGCAUCAAUAGAUAUAACAUAUUCAAGUAUGCUUUGAAACUAAAGUGGGAGACUUAAGAUGAUCCGGGGCUUUCCAUUCACGAACGAAGCUGGCUCGUGACUAGGGCACUCGACCUUCUCUUCGGGCUCCUCUUGUCCUGCUGGCUAGACCUCCGCCUCCUUGUUGAUCUCCGGUCGUUGUUCACCCUCUCGAGCUCGAACGAGGCUGCCGCUUCCGAUGCACCUAUUGCAUGCACGAUAAGUGAGGAAUGGUGCACACUAGAUGAUGAUGAAUGCUUAGUAACAUGAUUAGAAAAUUCACUGGACAAUCAUUUACGGAGUAACUCCCAUUACAAGCUCACAAAAGAGUACCAACUUAACUAACAAGACUCACCAACUUGAACCAUUAAACAGCAACAACCAAAUAACAGAGCAGCUCAAGGAACAAUUCAUAACUAAUGCUAUACAGAUCCAACAAAAAUGAAUGAGGACAUUCUGGAAAGCUUAUGAAAUUGUUUACAUUUCAUCUUUAGACCUCACAGAAAGAUUCACAAGUUAAACAGGUCAACUAAACAAAGUUCCAGGUUCUGUUCCAGAAAAACAGAGAGCACCUAGUUCUGGAACUCAACUUAAAAGAGCCAUAACUUUUAAACUACUGGACCAAAUGAUCCCAAAUUUAAACUGCAGCUAGCAUGCAAAGUUUAAAACAUCUUUGAUAUAGACAAGUUAGUCAGAAAACAAAGUUAUCUUUACACAACAAUCAGAUUACUCUCUUGCUGUCCAGAACAGCUAUAAAACAUUUAAUUAAUUAUUUGAGGACAUAACAAAAACAUAUUUAGUACCAACCAAGUGGCUUAUAAGCACAAGCAUAACCCAAGAUUACCAAAAUGCCACAUGUUGACUACUAAAUACUUAACAACAAGGCAUUUAUUAAUUUAAUCCUAUAAAAGGGCAUAAUUACAAGAUACCAGCAAGAGUGCUCAGAAAAAAAUCUACAAAAUUAUAGAAGCACAAGCAUGGCACCAGAACAUUACCAUAAAAUUUUCAGAACAAUUGCACAUGCCAAACUUAAGAUAAUUAAUUAACAUGUAACAAUGUGCUUAUUUCAUAAAUUAAGAAACAUGGCUUAGAUAGUGUCAAACAACAGAUUUCAGAUUAUUUACAAGUUACUACUACUACUAUGAACAUGCUUGACACCAAAGGAGAACACCAGCAUAAGUAUAUAACAUUUUAUAUGAUUUAAACAAGAAACUAGGCCAUAGUAUUAACAUAAAUUACAUAUCAGAGAUACAGCACUCCAAAAAUCAUGAAAUAUUUAUCAGAGCAUCAUAAAAAUUUCACAGCAAUUGGAGCCUUAUAUCAAAAGAUAUGAAUUUACACAAAAUUAACAAGAUUAAUUUAUAACAAUUAUUUUUCACAGAAAACAUGGUGCAUAUUAUAUUUUUAUUAAAAACUAGCCAUCCCAUGGAUCAUCACAAAAUUUGUUUCACAACUUUUGGAGCUCAGGAACAGAAGAUAUGAUUUUUGCAAGAUUGCAAGAAAUUUGGAUUUUAAAUAAAAGAGAGGAGGGAGCCGUUGUGCCACUGACAGUGGGACCCCCGUGUCAGGUUCUUCUUCCUCUCGACCGAGACGAUGUUCACCGACGAUUUCUCCGCGACGGCGAGGUCUCUGACCAAACCGAGGGCACCAACGUGAUCCCCAGACACUUGCGAACCGAUUGACCCCCUUUUCCCCACGGCGGAGCCACCGGAAGGGGCUCGCCGUCAACCAUGGCGGCUCGGUGGAGGUGCUCGGCGAUACGCCGAAGCCCUCAGGCCGGUAGAGUGCGCCCUAGGGUUUCCUACAGCACCAGUGAACUACGGCGAAGCUUUCUAGGUAAGCGACUUGGGUUGAAACGGUGUGGAAAGGGCUGGCCACGAGAGGACCGAACUCCGGCGGAAACACGGUGGCGCUGCGCGUCGUGUACGGCGACGGUGACCGUGGUAGAGUGUUCCCCAAGUGGUGCAGACGCUAGCUAAGGUCCUAAGCUACCUCUAGAACCCAACCAAAGAAGAUUAGAUGCUCCGAGGAGCUCAGCAUUGGGCUCGCCGGAGAAAACUAUUCCGGCGAUCUGAUUUGGGGAAGAUUGGAAAUGUCGGCUCACCAGAGGGUUUCACGGCGAGCUUGAGGGUGGAAGUUGGAGAGCAGCACACGGCGGAGCUGUGGGCGAGCUUUGGUGGGCGGCGAUGCAGCGUGGAGCGCGCUCGAGCUCGUUGGAGUGAGCUCGCGAUGGCGACUCCGCUGCGGCUGAGCUUUCCGCGCGGGAGAGGCGAGAGGGAUGGAAUGGACGCGUCGAGGCGCUCGAGGGCGUCGUCGUGGAGGUCAUGCAUGCCUCCAGCGCUGACGAGCGGGGCCAGAGACGGCGUACGGACGCCAAAUGUCGCCAAUGUGCUGACACCGGUCGACCACGUCGACGAGGACGAUGUCCAUUCAGAGCUUGCUGUUGACAGUUCUUAAGUAUCAAUUUUAAUUAUCAAAUAAACAAGGGAAAGGACCAAUAUACAAACAGCACCUAGAAUUAGGGUUUGAUCUGACAGAAUUCCACGUGUUUUGUUGUUUAUCUAUUUCUGCAGGGGGUUAUCAGGAAAUAGGGAAGAAAGGCCCACAUGUCGGGAUUACAUAGAGAUAUUAACGCACCGCGCAAUUUUCUACCAUCUAGAAGACUCCAAAAGCCACGGGAACGAACGGGAAGGCGAUCGGGCCCAGAGGCAGGGCGCUCGCCCUGGUGGUGUGGCCAAUCACGUCCAAUCUCGCGGAUCACGCUCCACCGACCUAAAGGAUCAAGGAUAACCGUUCAAUUAAUGUCGGUUUGAUCCGACGGCCCACGUUCACCUGAGGGGACUAUAUAAGCAGACCCCAUGGCCCCUGGAGGAGAACAAGUUCAUCAUAGAGUUGAGAGGUGCCCUCGAAGGAUAACCUUUCCUCUAAAUAAACUUAGGGCUUAGCAUCUAAUGUGAGUAGACUAGAUCUACUAGAUUGAGAGAGAUAGAGUGGAGGUGUAGAUCGGAGGAAGCCCGGCCUGUCGGUGUCUACUCCGAGGUUGUACCUGCGGGAUCAAGUACUCCUAACCCGAAGCUUGCUCCUAGGAUUCUUCAGUAUUACGACUUCUAAAUACUAGUAAGUUCUUAUUUUAUUGUUCUUUGUUUUAUGAGUUUACUUUAAUCUCUUCGCGUAGAGUUUAGAGUAAUCAUCUCUAGCAUAGACGUGGUGUCUGGGCUAGGAUACUCAUAGAUAUCCCCUAACUAGCUGGACCGUGGUAGUAGCGAGGAACGUGACAAUUUCGAGUUACCUUUGCAGCCCAUAUCCCGUUAGUAGGAUCGAUAGGGUUUAUAGGUGCGGGUUGAACAUCCUCUGUGGUGUCUAGAUUCCGUGAGCCUCCUCAAUAGAACAGUAGAUUAUCCUUACCAAGGUUAGAACGAGAUUAAGGUUGUAGUCUUCUCUAUACAUCGCUUACAUUGAGAAACAUUCUUUCUAGCCUAAAGGUUAGUAGUAAUAGACCAGGUUAGUCAGAUGCACUCUUUCUCCUAGUGGUAAAAAUAUAAAUACGAUACUCUGGAUAACAUCCCGGGUGAAGUGCUCACCGAUAUCCGUGCGCUUGCGGAUCAAUUCCUUAUUGCGUUACCAAAUAUCAACAAGCAUUUCUGGCGCCGUUGCCGGGGAGAAAGACGGUUUGCUGAGAUAACCUUGACUCUUAAUACUAGCUUGUAUCUAUACUUUUAUCUUUUCUUAUCUUUUAUAUUCUUUUAUUUUCUUUAUUCUUACCUUAUGGAAAACCAAGAUUCUAAAUCAAUCUAUCAGUUUGCAACACCUUCAGAAACUGACCUUUUACCAUGGGAGUCAUCACAGCCUAUCCAAACAUCCCAGUUGUUGACGGUCCUUAAGUAUCAAAUUUAAUUAUCAAAUAAACAAAGAAAAGGAUCCAUAUAAAAUCAACAUCUAGACUUAGGGUUUUAUCUGACAGAAUUCCUUGAGUUUUGGUGUUUGUCUAUUUCUACAGGGGGGUUUCAGAAAAUAUGGAAGAAAGGCCCACACGUCGGGAUUACAUAGAGAUAUCAACGUGCCGCACAAUUAUCUUACAUCUAGGAGACUCCAGAAGCCACGGGAAGGAAGCGGAGGCCGAACGGGGCCUGGCCCUGGGCGCCCGCCCAGGUAACCAGGGCGCCCGCCCCCCCUUCUGAGUCCAAUCAGGACUCUCUUUCAGGAAAGAUCUCCACCGACCUAAAGGAUCAAGGAUAACCGUUCAAUCAAUGUCGGUUUGAUCCAACGGCCCAUAUUCACUUGAAGGGACUAUAAAACCAGACCCCCUAGCCCCUGGAGGAGAGAGCCUCUCAACCCUAAUUCAUUAUUCCUCAAGGGAGAAGAAGCCUCUGAUCAAGAUUACAGCCACCACAUCAAUUAGACAUCUAGAUUAGCAUAGCUACAUAGGAUUAGAACUAGAAGGAGUCAAUCUUCGAUUGGUUUCCGGAUCUGUCAAGAGGAUUCUUGGUAAUUCUCUAAUUGUGCUUCUAAUUGUUCUUCUAAUCAUCUUUGUUCUUCAAUAUUAUGAAUAUGACUUUGUUCUACUUCAAUAUAUUGCUUAUGACUUUGCUCUACUUGUUUAUAUUCAAGAUUAUAUUGUUCUUAGUUUCUCAUAGUUAUAUACUUGUCUUAGUUAGAUUGGAUCUAUAUACAUGCUUAGGAUCGUAUAGCGUUUAUCCAUCGGAUCCAUGGGUAAAUGAUAGAUAUUGUGUAGGCAUGGUGCUUAUACUGUAUUUAUCUGCGAUUGUACCCAAUAUGCCAGAUCGUGGGGUAGUUCGUGAUAGUGACAGCUUCAAUGAUUCUUAUAUAGUCACCCUCUCGUGUAUUGGGCUGGCAGAGCAAUAUGAUUACAGGAGAGUGAUUGCUAUGUUUCUCAUUUACCUUGCUAAUAUCACUAUGCAUGGGCGUAGUCUUGUCUCGCAAUGAUUGCUAAGUAUGCUUGCACUAAUUAUGAUAAUGCUAGACUAUAUAGUUGAGAAUAACUUAGAAAAUAUUCUUGUAGUUCGUUCUAAUACCAUGCUAAUGACUUUCUAGAGUAUCUAAUUGAGCUGCUUAUCAUAUUUAUAUGUGGCUAAGUUAUGCUGAUCAGAUUAAUUAUCUUUGUCACUAUUCUUUACUUCAUAUAUCCUUUAUGUGACACUUACCCCUGUAUGAAAGAGUUAGAUAAAUGUUCUCAAUUAUAUAUGCAAUGAUAGAUACUCAAUCUCAAAUUCCAUUCUGUAAUCAAUAUUGAUGAUUGCUAAUCCCUUCCUAGUGGUAAAAAUAUAAAUAACGAUACCUGAAAUACUUCCCGGUUAAAAUGCUACAUCGGUAUUAAUCUGUGCGGUUGCAGAUCCCAUUCAUUAUUUAUUUAGAAGAGCAAUUGCAUAUUUCAAUACCGCGUCUCUCAUGUCAUGCUGGGGAUGACAACUUGGCUUAAGUGGUAUGAGGGAUAGGUUUGGCAUUUUUGGCACCGUUACUAGAAUUAGAAAACUGUCUACUUUUGGUAAUGAUGUUAAGAAUACCCAAUAAGCAUUUUUGGCACCGUUGCCGGGGAAGGUUGAUUACUAAUCAAGAAUGAAUAAAGGAUUUUGAGUUAUCAUUCGCAUCACUAAUAUGAUUGAGCUUAUCAAUUCUCUCAUACAGUUUUACCCCGAUAUUUUCUAUUUUUAUCUUAUGGAGGGGAAUGUAUGAAUAGAAGACAUCUUCCAGGAAAUUUUGUUGACAAUCUCGAAGCGUUAUUCAGAAAAACUAGAGCCAAGCUCAAGAAGAGAUCAUCAACACUUCAGCAAGAAGCUUCAUCCAAUCAAGAAGAUCACCGGAACUUGUGUUCAGAGUUCGAAGCCAUGGCGAACAAAUCGAUCCGUGAGUUCUCAGCUCCCACUACGGACAACAUCCGCACUGGACCUGCUGCAGAGAUCGAUGGCAACUUUGAGCUCAAGCCUGGACUUAUCAACAUGGUGCAAUCCAAUCAGUUCUGUGGGAAGGCACACGAAGAUGCUAGUGCUCAUCUCCAACACUUCCUGGAGAUAUGCAGCACAUUCACCAUAUCAGGAGUUUCCAGAGAUGCUAUACUACUUCGCCUCUUCCCAUCUCACUAUUAGGGAGAGUGAAGCAGUGGUUCUACGCUACAAAGGAGAAGAAUACUACGUGGGCACUCUGCUCAACAAACUUCCUGGCUAAGUUCUUUCCCAUGGGCAAGACCAAUGCUCUCCGUGGGAAGAUUACAAGUUUUCAGCAACAAAAUGAUGAAUCUGUUCCAGAAGCAUGGGAGCGCUUCCAAGACUACAUUCUAGAAUGUCCCCAUCAUGGAAUGGAGAGCUGGCUACUGAUGUAGACGUUUUAUCAUGGGCUCGGCAACAGUGCCCGAGAAACCAUGGACGCUGUAGCUGGAGGAGCAUUCCUAUCACUUACCACAUCACAAGCCACAGCUCUUGUGGAGAAGAUGGCGUCCAAUCAAGGCUGGAAUGAAGAGAGGACCUAGAAACGCAAGAGAGGUGGAGGUAUGCAUCAGCUCAAGGAGGUAGACAUCUUGUCUGCAAAGCUAGACCUGCUCAUGAAGGAGCUCGACAAUAGAGCCGGAGAUAAGAAAGAAGUUAUGCAUAUCUACGACUCUCACAUGACUUGUGAGGAAUGUGGAGAUACUUGACACUCAGGCAAUCACUGCCCUGAGAUGCUUGACGAUGUAAACUACAUCAACAACAACAACUACUACUACUACUACUACAACCAUCCUCAACAAAAUCAAGGUUGAAAUCAACAGAGGCCUAACUACUCAGGUAAUUAUCAAGGUAAUAAUUCUUACAACAAUAACAAUAAUUUUCCACCUCUGAGAGAGUUAGUGUCUAAUCAAGGAAAGCUAAUGGAUAACCUAUCUAAGAAAUUGACAUCUAAUGAUAAAAUGCUAGAAAAUAUAAAUAAUAGAAUGGACAAUUUCUCUACUGCCAUCAAUAAUCAAAUUAGCUUUAAUAAAAUGAUUGAAUCUCAAUUAAAUCAAAUAGCUACUGCUGUUCCUACUACUAACCUCGGUAUACCAUCACAACCGGAAGGAUUAGAAUUUGCAAAUCUUGUAGACAUGUUUGAUGCAGGUAAUAACAAGAGUAACCCCGCACUGAAUUCACUACUGACCUUCUGCCGGUCAAGAGAGGCGACCCAGGAUGCCCCGUCAUCCCGAUCUCCAUCGGCAUGGUGGACGUCCCAGAAGCACUAUGCGACUUUGGCUCUAGCGUCAACAUUAUACCUAGGGUACUCUAUGAAAAAUUCUUUACAUAUCCUUUAUUAGAGACAACCAUAUGUUUGCAGUUUGCAGAUCAGACGAUAAGUUUUCCAAAAGGAAUAUUGAAGAACCUUUGUGUCCGAGUUGGUACCUUAUAUGCCCCAGCAGACUUCGUGGUGAUAGAGACCGGUAAUGAGGAGAGGGCACCUAUCAUCCUAGGGAGGCCAUUCUUAAACACCUCGGGAGCUGUCAUCUAUGCCAGUGCUACCAAGAUCAGUUUCUACAUCAAAGGGAGGAAGGAGACGUUUUCCUUCAAGAACAAGACUACACAAAUCCCAGAUCAAUCCAGACGUGAACCAAGGAAGAGGACCAACAGGAGGAACAGGAACAAGCAAGUGUGGACCGAGUCAGCUAAGAUGGUCACUGCAGUUCAUGGAGGCCAAGAUCAACAACUUAAGUCACCAUUUUUGACCAAGAAGGACGACCCAGGAAUGUCAAGCAUCUACUGCUCCAUAAAUGGAUACAACUUCUACAAGACGACUUGCGACACCGGAUCGGGCGUUAACAUAAUGGCCGUAGUCACCUAUCGGCUCUUGUUCGGAACCAUGCCCCUAAAACCAACAUAUAUUCAGCUCCAGAUGGCAGAUCAUACAUUUCGAGAGGUUAAAGGAACAGUAACUGAUGUCCCAGUCAAAAUAGACGAUCAUUUUGUCUACACAGACUUUCAGAUUACGAUCCACCCAUCAUCCUUGGAAGACCGUUCCUCAGCACCGUUAAAUCAAUUAUCUACAUUGGAACCGGAGAAGUCCAUAUGCACUUUCCCUCAGAGAAGGUACGCCGUUAUUUUACUGACCCUAACUACAUCUUUGAAGAAUCUAAGCAGGUAAGAAAACGAUGCAACCGGCAAAUCAUCAAGGACGGAUGGGCAGACUAUGAAGGAGAAGUGAUAAGGUCAGAAGACAUUCAGUUUAAACAGAAUUAUCCAGAGGAGACCGAAGCACCGAGUCAGGUAUGGAAAGAGAAGAUAACUAUACAUGAAGAAGAGGCACUGCCGGAAGUACCAACUACGCCACCCAACGAACCUUAGGACAAUUGAGAAAACAGAGAGUCCCGUUCGGAGGACUUAAAAACACCGAACGCCUUGCCAAGAGGUAAACUUGGUAGUUAUCCUUUCCCUUUUCAAUUAUUUUAAACAGUUUGCUUAGUUAAUUGUGUUCAUACUAUCCUAAAAAGAAAAUAAAAAUGAAAAACAGUAAGCCCUAUGUGAGUAUACGAGUGGCAUAAAACCCAUAAGUACAUUCACUGUGGUGGCAUAAAAAUAAAAUAAAUAUUUAUUUUCUGCUUUAUAAAAUGAAAAUAUAAAAAUAGUGAGUAACAUUUAUUUAGGAGUCUCAACAUGAUAAAGGCUAGAUACUUAUGCUAACACUUAAUCAGUUCCACAAGCUUUGUUGCCUAUUUGAGCUCCACAGAAUUUAAGAAUCAAGAAGACUAGCAGACAGAGGACAUUCUAAUCGCUGUCAGAAUACUGCCGACAUUCAAAUACACCUCUGCCACAUGCUAGCUACAUCAAGGGAAAUUACGUCAAAAUUCAGCUUAGGGGAGAGCACCCCCAUUUAUCCCGAUAAGUAUUUCUAUUUAUCUAUCUUUAUACUUAUACUAUAUUAAAAUAUAGAUAUACAUAACUAUGAAAAACCAAAUAAAGAUUUUAUGCUUAUAUAUAUAUAUAUCUUUUGCUAGUGUGUUUAAUAAAUAAAUAAAGUGGCUAUGAUAAUCUGAAUCUUAAUAAUAAAACUCUAGCAUGGAUAUGAUGAAUAGUUGCUCUGCUUAACUUUUCAAAAUUUGAAGUUCUCUCUCAAGUUUAGACAUAACUGUUAUAAUUUAAAGCUUGCUGUAGACCUAAACUUGUGGGAUGAAAACUUGAUCUGAAGUCGAAGUUGUUAACGGAUAUGAUAUGGGAAGGUUGAGCUGCUGUUUAUCUAUUACUAGAGAUGCUAGAAUUCUGCAGAAUUUUAUCUUUUAAAAUCUUUAAAAUAUUGCAUGAUGAGUUCCUGUAUGAUGAGAGUUUAAAUUCCUACCACAGCCAUAUAUACAUGCUUGCUAGACUUUGAGCCACACAUUUACUAUUUACUGCUUAUGAGCAUUGAGUGUGGUCAAGCUGUGUAGACCCUUAGGAGCUUGUCAUGUGGUUAAAUCAAGAUUCACUUGCACAUUCACUCAAAUAUGCUGCUUCUACUCUGGAAAUACCAUCCACAUAUAUCCACUCAUUUCCAUCUCCAGAAACACCCAAAAAUAUUCUACUCCUAAUCCGGGAUAGAAUAGCCAAAAUUAUUUCUGUUUUUCCCUGUGAAAUAAAUGCUCAAGUUAUCUUGUUACUACCACUUGCUAUAUUAUCUCAUGAGAUGAGUGCUCUACUUUAAAAAAAAGAAAAAAGUAUACGAGGAAAUAAAAAGGGGCAAGUGCCCGGAACCUCGAAAGAAAAGAAAAAGUGAGACGAGAGGUAAAAAUGGACAAGUGUCCGACAGUAGAAUUAGGGGUACAAGAUACCCACCUGAGAGAAAAGAAAAAUAAGAGCAUCUCAUUCUCCUCAUAAAGUUUCAAAAAGCAAGGAAGGUAUGCAUCCCCUCAAAAGAGCAAAAGUAGAAUUAGACUUUCAUCAUUGUUAUCGCCAUCAUCACCAUACACCAUUCAUUCGCCACACAUGCACAUCUUGAUUUGACUUAAUGAUUUGUUUCUUUGGAUCCAUGGUUUGACUAUACAAUACAUGUCUUGUAUGUAUGUAUACUUUAUCUCCCACCUAUGAGCUCCAGAUAUUAAAGCCUUAUUAGAGUAGGGUGAGAGAGAAGGCAAUGUCACUAUGCCUUAUACCAUAAAUACCAUAUAUAUUGAGAGAAGGCAUAUACCAUCACUGCCUUGGUAAGGAUCCAGAAAUACCACAAAAGAGAGAUCUGAGAAAGUCAUACAAGAUCUCUGAGUUUUAUUUGAAAAUCUACAAAAACUCCAGAGCUAUAGCUGAUCAAGAAUAAGAGACAUGGCACUUGACUAGACUGUUCUAUCUUUUAACUACUCAAGACAGAAGUGACGGUUACAAGUCCCAUGGUGAAAGGUAAAGUAAGUAAGUUUUAAGUCUUGACAGUUUACUCUAACUCAGAGAUAAGACCUUAUUUAGAAGCAUGUGUACCAUCAAUUUUUAAAGAUAUCGCAACAACUUCUAAUCCAUCGUUGAGAUUAUCCUUGCUCAGGGACGUGCAAGACGUAAGCUUGGGGGAGUUUGUUGACGGUCCUUAAGUUUAUCAAAUAAACAAAGAAAAGGAUCCAAAUAAAAUCAACAUAUAGACUUAGGGUUUUAUCUGACAGAAUUCCACGAGUUUUGGUAUUCGUCUAUUUCUGCAGGGGGUUAUCAGGAAAUAUGGAAGAAAGGCCCACACGUCGGGAUUACAUAGAGAUAUCAACAUGCCGCGCAAUUAUCUUACAUCUAGAAGACUCCAGAAGCCACGGGAAGGAAGCGGAGGCCGAACAGGCCUGGCCCUGGGUGCCCGCCCUGGUAACCAGGGCGCCCGCCCAGGUAACCAGGGCACCCGCCCCCUUCUGAGUCCAAUCAGGACUCUCUUUCGGGAAAGAUCUCCACCGACCUAAAGGAUCAAGGAUAACCGUUCAAUCAAUGUAGGUUUGAUCCAACGGCCCUUAUUCACUUGAAGGGACUAUAAAACCAGACCCCCUGGCCCCUGGAGGAGAGAGUCUCUCAACCCUAAUUCAUUAUUCCUCAAGGGAGAAGAAGCCUCUGAUCAAGAUUAGAGCCACCACAUCAAUUAGACAUCUAGAUUAGUAUAGCUACAUAGGAUUAGAACUAGAAGGAGUCAAUCUUCGAUUGGUUUCCGGAUCUGUCAAGAGGAUUCUUGGUAAUUCUCUAAUUGUGCUUCUAAUUGUUCUUCUAAUCAUCUUUGUUCUUCAAUAUUAUGAAUAUGACUUUGUUCUACUUCAAUAUAUUGCUUAUGACUUUGCUCUACUUGCUUAUAUUCAAGAUUAUAUUGUUCUUAGUUUAUCAUAGUUAUAUACUUGGCUUAGUUAGAUUGGAUCUAUAUACAUGCUUAGGAUCGUAUAAUGUUUAUCCAUCGGAUCCAUGGGUAAAUGAUAGAUAUUGCAUAGGCGUGGUGCUUAUACCGUAUUUAUCUGCGAUUGUACCCAAUAUGCCACAUCGUGGGGUAGUUCGUGAUAGUGACAGCUUCAUUGAUUCUUAUAUAGUCCCCCUCUCGUGUAUUGGGCUGGUAGAGCAAUAUUAUUACAGGGGAGUGAUUGCUAUGUUUCUCAUUUACCUUGCUAAUAUCACUAUGCAUGGGCGUAGUCUUGUCUCGCAAUGAUUGCUAAGUAUGCUUGCACUAACUAUGAUAAUGCUAGAAUAUAUAGUUGAGAAUAACUUAGGAAAUAUUCUUGUAGUUUGUUCUAAUACCAUGCUAAUGACUUUCUAGAGUAUCUAAUUGAGAUGCUUAUCAUAUUUAUAUGUGGCUAAGUUAUGCUGAUCAGAUUAAUUAUCUUUGUCACUAUUCAUUACUUCAUAUAUCCAUUAUGUGACACUUACCCCUGUAUGAAAGAGUUAGAUAAAUAUUCUCAAUUAUAUAUGCAAUGAUAGAUACUCAAUCUCAUAUUCCAUUCUAUAAUCAAUAUUGAUGAUUGCUAAUCACUUCCCAGUGGUAAAAAUAUAAAUAACGAUACCUAGAAUACUUCCUGGUUAAAAUGCUACAUCGGUAUUAGUCUGUGCGCUUGCAGAUCCCAUUCAUUAUUUAUUCAGAACAGCGAUUGCAUAUUUCAAUACCGCGUCUCUCAUGUCAUGCUGGGGAUGACAACUUGGCUUAAGUGGUAUGAGGGAUAGGUUUGGCAUUUUUGGCACCGUUACUAGAAUUAGAAAACUGUCUACUUUUGGUAAUGAUGUUAAGAAUACCCAACACCAGUAUAGGUUGAGUUCUAGGUUGAUUGCUAUGAUUCAAAACCUAUCUUUUUCAGGAAAGGAAGACGAAAACCCUUACCUUCAUAUUAGAGAUUCUGAGCAAACAUGUGAUUGUCUUCGCAUUGAAGGCAUUUCUGAUAAAACUUUACGUUGGAAGCUUUUUCCUUUUUCUUUAAGGGGAGAAGCUAGACAAUGACAUAAUCAGAAGGUAAGUCAACAACGAGGUGAAUGGGGAGUUUUAUGAGCCAACUUUUGUCUAGAUUUUUAUUCCCUCGACCGUAUCGGCGACCUUAGACUCAAAGUCCUAUCUUUUGAACAAAAAGAUAAUGAGACUUUGGGAAAAUCCUGGAAACAUUUUUUUGAUCUUUUAGAAUCUAGUCCAAACCUUAAUCUUGAAGACCCUGUUCUUUUAUUUCACUUUUUUCGAGGUCUUCAGAAAGAUCAUAAACAAAUGCUACAUACAAUGUCUAGAGGUUCUUUCUUUCGCAUCCCUACUGAUGAUGCUAGAGUGAUCCUAGAUAGAGUCCUAGAAGCUGAGAUGGGUAAUACCCUUCAUGAUGAAACCCACGAAGCCGAAGUAGACACUUUGCCAAAUUCUCCAUCUACUUUAGCUAUCCCAAGUUUUGAGCCACAAAAGGAAGAAAUUCCACCACCUGAUUUCAUGCUGGAUAUAGAAUCUGAUCUUUUUGCCGAUUUUGGAAACAUUUCAAACUACCAUUCUAUUGACAAACCCCAAAACAACCAUUUUAGCAUUUGUUCGCCAAAUGAAUAUCAAUUGAGAGAGCUUAUCUCAGUCAUGAGUAGCGAAUGGUUGGAGGAGUCAAAGCUUUCCUCUGAAGUGAUCCGUUUGGACACACCUCCUAUAACUAUACGCUGUGCUUAUGAUUCUGAUCAAUUUGAUGCUCUCUAUAAUCCUGUUGUAGGGAUCAACAACAUGUCCGAAUCUUUUGCACUUAAGUUAUUUAAAAAUUUGGUCUUAACCCCCACAACAAAGGUCAUAAAGAAAUCUUCGGGAUGAUUAGUCCCUAGUCUUGGAAUUAUUAAUGUCCUACCCCUUAUGGUAGAAGGCUCCAUGGUUCAUUUGAACUUCUAUAUCUUUGAUACAUGGGACUUCGACCUAUUGAUAGGACAACCUUUUAGAAGACUCCUUUAUGAAGGUCAUUCUGGAAAGCUACACAUUUCUUUUGGGAAAACUUUUAAAUUUCCAAUAACAAUUUCACACUCCUUAAAUAAUAAAGCCGAGUCAUAUCUUUUGCAUGAUCCUAUGGAGGAGGUAAAGGCUGCAUCUCUAGAGCUUUUAGAAGAACCAGACUUAGAAGACGAAGCUCCUUUCUUCACAGAAGAAGAUGCUGAACCUUUUGAACCUGAACCCUUAGAUGAAUUUACAGAAGCGCCUAGACCUCCCAUAGAGCUUAAAACUUUACCACCCGGUCUUAUCUAUGCUUUCCUAAACAAUAAUCUAGAGUUUCCUGUGAUCAUUAGUGAUAAACUCACUCAGGAGCAAACUUUGCGAUUAAUGACCAUUCUUGAAAAACAUCACUCAGUUUUCGGCUACUCACUCCAUGAUCUUACAGGAAUUAGUCCUAUGAUUUGUACCCAUCGUAUUCCGUCAGAUUCUUCUGUUUCACCUUCUCGAGAGCCCCAACGUAGACGUAAUAAUGCGAUGAGAGAGGUAGUUAAAAAGGAAGUUAUAAAGUUGCUGCAUGCAGGGAUUAUAUAUCAUGUGCUGCAUAGUGAGUGGGUAAGCCCAGUUCAAGUUGUGCCUAAAAAGGGAGCCAUGACUGUCGUUAUGAAUGAAAAGAAUGAGCUAAUUCCGCAACGCACCGUCACAGGGUGGCGGAUGUGCAUAGACUAUAGAAAACUAAACAAAGGCAUGAGAAAGGAUCAUUUUCCUUUACCUUUCAUAGAUGAGAUGCUAGAGCGAUUAGCGAACCAUUCAUUCUUCUGUUUCUUAGAUGGAUAUUCAGGGUAUCACCAGAUCCCGAUCCAUCUCAAUGAACAAAGCAAAACCACUUUUACAUGCCCAUAUGGAACUUAUGCUUACCGUAGAAUGUCUUUUGGGUUAUGUAAUGCACCAGCUUCUUUUCAAAGAUGCAUGAUGUCUAUAUUUUCUGAUAUGAUUGAAGAGAUUAUGGAAGUUUUUCAUGGUUGAUUUCUCUAUAUAUGGAAAAACUUUUGAUAGUUGUCUUGAAAACUUAGACAAGGUUUUGCAAAGAUGUGAAGAAAAGCACUUAGUCCUUAAUUGGGAAAAAUGUCAUUUUAUGGUUAGAGAAGGAAUAGUGCUGGGACACCUAGUGUCUGAAAGAGGUAUUGAGGUAGACAAAGCUAAAAUGGAAGUAAUUGAACAACUACCUCCACCUGUGAAUAUAAAAGGAAUUCAAAGCUUUCUUGGCCAUGCUGGUUUUUAUCGCAGAUUCAUAAAAGAUUUUUCAUUUAUUGCUAGACCACUUACUCUUUUGCUAGCCAAGGAUGCUCCUUUCGAAUUUGAUGAUGCAUGUCUAACAUCUUUCAAUUCAUUAAAGAAUGGACUCAUCUCUGCACCAAUCAUUCAACCCCCUCAUUGGUCGUUGCCUUUUGAAAUUAUGUGUGAUGCUAGUAAUUAUGCUGUGGGGGCCGGUUUGGGACAAACUAAAAAUAAGAAGCAUCAUGCAAUUGCUUAUGCCAGUAAAACUUUGACAUGAGCUCAACUUAAUUAUGCAACCACUGAAAAAGAGCUUCGGGCUGUUGUCUUUGCCAUUGAUAAAUUUAGAUCUUGUUUAGUUGGAGCUAAAAUAAUUGUUUACACUGAUCAUGCUACACUAAAAUAUUUGCUCACUAAAAAAGAUACUAAACCUCGCCUGAUUAGAUGGAUGUUAUUACUUCAAGAAUUUAACUUAGAAAUAAAAGAUAAAAAGGGAGUAGAAAAUUUUAUUGCUGAUCACUUGUCUAGAAUGUAUUUUAAGAAUCCACACGAAACCCCCAUCAAUGAUUCACUUCGGGACGACAUGCUCUACGAGAUUAACAGGUCUGACCCCUGGUAUGUAGAUAUUGUUAAUUUUAUGGUUUCAGGGUAUGUACCACCAGGAGCAAACAAGAAGAAGCUUAUUCAAGAAAGUCGUUCACAUAUAUGGGAUGAGCCAUACCUCUUCUGAGUAUGCUCUGAUGGCUUACUCAGAAGAUGUGUGACCACUGAGGAAGGAUGGAAGAUCAUCAACAGAUGUCAUUCAUCACCAAAUUGAGGUCAUUAUGGAGCAUUCCGUACACAUUCAAAGAUCUGGAGUGUGGAUUCUACUGCCCUACAAUGUAUGAAGACACGAAGAAAUACAUCAGAAGAUGUGGGCCAUGUCAAAGGCACGGAAACAUAAACACAAGGGAUGCCAUGCCACUCACCAACAACCUUCAGAUUGAGCUCUUUGAUGUCUGGGAUAUAGAUUACAUGGGUCCAUUUCCCCCAUCAAAGAAGUGUGAGUUCAUCUUGGUGGCAGUUGACUACGUCUCCAAGUGGGUAGAGGCACUACCUUGCAAACACGCCGACAACAUCAGUUCAAACAGGAUGUUUGAAGAAGUUAUAUUUCCAAGAUUUGGAGUCCCCAGAGUAGUGAUAAGUGAUGGAGGAGCACACUUCAUUGACAAACGCUUCAAGCAAUAUCUAUCAAAACAUGGAAUCCGUCACAACGUCGCUACCCCCUACCAUCCUCAGACAAGUGGCCAAGCAGAGACUUCCAACAUGAAAAUCAAGAAUAUUCUUCAGAAGACAGUGAAUGAAAUGGGAACGGCAUGGAAAGACAAGUUACCCGAUGCACUCUGGGCAUACCGAACAGCAUACAAGACUCCAAUUGGAAUGUCACCAUACCAAUUGGUGUACGGGAAGACUUGCCACCUAACUGUUGAAUUAGAAUUCAAAGCACACUGGGCCAUAAGGAGAUGGAAUAUGGACCUAGAUGUCGCUGGAGAUCAUAGAAGAAUGCAACUAUUAGAAUUGGAAGAAUGGCGAGAGAAAGCAUAUCACAAUUCGAAGAUCUACAAAGAAAGAGUCAAAAGGUGGCAUGACAAGAAGAUCAAGAAGAAGGAGUUCGCACCCGGAGAUAAGGUAUUACUUUUUAAUUUCAGGGUGAAGCUUUUCGAGCAUGGAAAACUCCAGAGUAAAUGGGAAGGACCAUUCAAGGUAAUCAAUUCAUCAUCCCACGGAGCUAUCACACUUCAAAAUGACGAAGGUACGUUAUUCAAGCUAAAUGGUCAACAUCUUAAAUUAUUUUUAGAGCCCAAAAAAGAAUUAGAAGAGAUAGACGUGAUCCAUUUUUACCUUCCCAUGGAGAUUUAGAGCCCGACCUUUUUAAUCUGACGUUUUAGGGCCAUGCAUAUAUUUUCCUAAUUAAGUCUGCAUCUAGAAGCACGCUCAAGGAAGCGGGCCCACAGAGGGGCCAGGCAUAGGGCGGGCACCCUGAUGAAGAGGGCGGGCGCCCAGCCCCUGCCCCCUCUCAGUCCUGAUUUCCUCCGUCAUGGUAAACACACUUAUGGUAAACCAAAUAAUCAUACAGAUGGAAAGUUUCGCACGCACGGCGGCGGAAGUAGCCCGAGCAAACCCUAGAGGCACUUUUUGACCCCUAUAUAAACAGACCCCUGACGUCAGUUUUCAAACACCAAUCUAUUCAAGCUUCUCUCCUUCUUCAAUUAGAGCUUGCUUAGUUCCUUGUUGUUCCAAUGGCCGAAGAGUUCCACGACGAUUGGGAAGUCGUCUCCUUCAACCUCAACAUGAAGCCCAAGGAAGACCCCGACGCCCACGCUCUCGUCCCGACCAACACAGAGCGACAGUUAGAAGCCAUGCCAUUACGCCAGCACAGCUCCGCCCAAUCCUACCAUGCUCAACCAGUUCUCACCGCACCGCCACAACCCCUACUUCUCAAGGGACCAUCAGCCAAGAAGGAGGCCACCAUCAAUGUGCCAGCCGGCACUAGGAUCCUUCCACCCAGACCCAAUGAGAGGGUCGUUGGAGUCAAGACCAACCGGAGCGGUGAGAUCAGCAGCAUCCGCUACACUACGGAGGAAGAGAGGCCUUACUUUGAGGGGAUUAGAGCAGCCAAAGUCUGUUUCAUCCCUCCAAAGGCAGCCCCGAAGCAUGCUCUCAAUGCUCUUGAGACACCUCCUAAGCGUCGCAAGACUAUAGUAGAUAUUGAUGAGGACGUUCGUAGGCUAGACAAGGUCAUCAUAGAACUCCAGUUCUCGGUUAACUCCAUCACUAGGCAGCUCUCUAACCACAACACUAUGAUACUAGGUCUUAGACAUGAUCUUGCUAGUGCCAAUAAGAAGAUCAGGGAGUUAGAGCGCCGCUAAGUUAUCUAGAUUAGAUCUUGAGGUAAUGCAUCUUAGUUAUUUAUCUUUAAAUUUGGUUUAGAUUUACUAUUAGCUUCAGUUCAUUACUAGUCAUUUGUAAUAAAUGCCUCAAGAUUAAUAAAGAGUAUUAUUAUUAUUAUGUCUUGUGUGUCUCUACUUUAUUUUUAUGCAAGUAAGCAGAAAAUAAGUAUGGGGGAGAUCCCUCGACAUGCCAAACACACUUCGACUACACCACUCCACGAUACAGGUACAUACUCUGCACACUUUACUUUACACACACACAUAUAUCUUGGAUUAUGCAGAAUAUUGUCUCCGACAAAUAAAUUAAAAAGAUUAAAAUGUUUCUAAUCAUGAUUAAUCUCACUCUGUGAUAUUUCCUGAAAACCUGCAAUUAUCGAAAAAUCAUUUUAAAACCCUGUGUUACUUAAGUCUUUGUGGAAUGUGAGAUGAUAGAGUAUGAGUAUCUUAUUCUUGAUAUCAUUGUUGCUUGGAGAAUUUAUUUCAAAAAUCUUCAAAAUUCUAGCUACCAUCCUCAGUGUUUUAUAUGCCUGAUAAAACUGAAAAUAUUAACUAUAUUGAGUUUGUUCAAAAUGAGUUAGACCCUUGUUGAGAGAUUUAUCAUGCUCCUAAGAUCAAGACAUUUAUUCAGAAAGAUUCACUCUUCCGAAGUAUUAUUGCAUUAGAGGAAUGGGCUAUGCAAAGAUAAGGAUAUUUCGAGGAAAUAAAAAGGUACAAGUGCUCGACAACCUCGCAGAAAAAAUGGACAAGUGUCCGGCAGUAGAAUUAGGGGUACCUCGUUAUCCACCUAAAAAAGAGAGAAAAGAAAGAAAAUAAUAGCCCAUGGUCCCUCUAAUAAGCAAUAUGCUAGUAAGAGUUGACAAGUUUUUAAUUUCCAAAGUCUUUGAUCUAAGAGUAUGGCAUUCCUCUCCUCGGAUCCCGUUUUGAUCAGGCAAUAAAUGCAAGGUAAGUAUGCUUGAGAAUUUUUGCAAAUUAAAACAGCCUCAGUGAGAUAUAUAAAAGAUAAUGAGUGAUCUAAGAGAACCUAUGAGGAUACAAGGUAUGCUAAAUUUCUUUUCAAAAAUAUACAAAAACUCCAAGUGACAGGAUUGAGAAGAAAGGACCUCUACUCUUAAUCAUAUAUUUCCCUGACUACGGUACAUAGUGAAUUUUUACAACACCCUGCAGAUAUGAAGAGAAUGCUUUACAAUGUUUUAACCCCAGAUAUUUUUCUUAACCAUCCUUUUCUCGAGGACGAGUAAAAGCCUAAGUAUGGGGGUAUUUGUUGACGGUUCUUAAGUAUCAAUUUUAAUUAUCAAAUAAACAAGGGAAAGGACCAAUAUACAAACAACACCUACAAUUAGGGUUUGAUCUGACAGAAUUCC
This 35544-nucleotide long non-coding RNA is filed under the name Sorghum bicolor (sorghum). RNAcentral's name for it is "long non-coding RNA (SBIC_LNC014052)". Lineage: Eukaryota; Viridiplantae; Streptophyta; Magnoliopsida; Poales; Poaceae. The record is from RNAcentral.